RNAcentral lists this ribosomal RNA (496 nucleotides) under uncultured bacterium. RNAcentral's name for it is "partial 16S ribosomal RNA". It matches the Rfam family "Bacterial small subunit ribosomal RNA", at positions 29 to 507 of the family's 1533-position model. The record is from RNAcentral.
ACGAACGCUGGCGGCGUGCCUAAUACAUGCAAGUUGAGCGCUGAAGGUUGGUACUUGUACCCACUGGAUGAGCAGCGAACGGGUGAGUAACGCGUGGGGAAUCUGCCUUUGAGCGGGGGACAACAUUUGGAAACGAAUGCUAAUACCGCAUAAAAACUUUAAACACAAGUUUUAAGUUUGAAAGAUGCAAUUGCAUCACUCAAAGAUGAUCCCGCGUUGUAUUAGCUAGUUGGUGAGGUAAAGGCUCACCAAGGCGAUGAUACAUAGCCGACCUGAGAGGGUGAUCGGCCACAUUGGGACUGAGACACGGCCCAAACUCCUACGGGAGGCAGCAGUAGGGAAUCUUCGGCAAUGGACGAAAGUCUGACCGAGCAACGCCGCGUGAGUGAAGAAGGUUGUCGGAUCGUAAAACUCGGUUGGUAGAGAAGAACGUUGGUGAGAGUGGAAAGCUCAUCAAGUGACGGUAACUACCCAGAAAGGGACGGCUAACUACGUG